Molecule: ribosomal RNA, 556 nt
Filed under: uncultured bacterium
Lineage: Bacteria
Description: bacterial SSU rRNA
Rfam family: Bacterial small subunit ribosomal RNA
Source: RNAcentral
GGGAAUCUUGCGCAAUGGGCGAAAGCCUGNCGCAGCGACGCCGCGUGAGGGAAGAAGGCCUUCGGGUUGUAAACCUCUUUCAGGAGGGACGNNNNNACUCGGGUUAAUAGCCCAGAGGGUGNCGGUACCUCCAGAAGAAGCCCCGGCUAACUACGUGCCAGCAGCCGCGGUAANNNGUAGGGGGCAAGCGUUGUCCGGAAUCAUUGGGCGUAAAGAGCGUGUAGGCGGCCAGAUAAGUCCGCUGUGAAAUCUCGAGGCUCAACUUCGAGCUGUCGGUGGAAACUGUCUGGCUAGAGUCCGGAAGAGGAGAAUGGAAUUCCUGGUGUAGCGGUGAAAUGCGCAGAUAUCAGGAAGAACACCCGUGGCGAAGGCGGUUCUCUGGGACGGUACUGACGCUGAGACGCGAAAGCGUGGGGAGCAAACAGGAUUAGAUACCCUGGUAGUCCACGCCGUAAACGAUGGGUGCUAGGUGUGGGCGGUGUCGACUCCGUCCGUGCCGAAGCUAACGCAUUAAGCACCCCGCCUGGGGAGUACGGCCGCAAGGCUAAAACUCCAA